RNAcentral lists this ribosomal RNA (223 nucleotides) under uncultured bacterium. RNAcentral's name for it is "partial 16S ribosomal RNA". It matches the Rfam family "Bacterial small subunit ribosomal RNA", at positions 109 to 334 of the family's 1533-position model. The record is from RNAcentral.
AGUAAUGUAUGGGGGUCGUGCCCGAUAGAGGGGGAUAACUACUGGAAACGGUGGCUAAUACCGCAUAAUGUCUACGGACCAAAGCAGGGGCUCUUCGGACCUUGCACUAUCGGAUGAACCCAUAUGGGAUUAGCUAGUAGGUGGGGUAAAGGCUCACCUAGGCGACGAUCUCUAGCUGGUCUGAGAGGAUGAUCAGCCACACUGGGACUGAGACACGGCCCAG